GAUCAUGGCUCAGGAUGAACGCUGGCGGCGUGCCUAACACAUGCAAGUCGAACGAAGCGCCAUUUUACGAUCCCUCCGGGGUGACGAGACGGUGACUGAGUGGCGGACGGGUGAGUAACGCGUGGGCAACCUGCCCCAUACAGGGGGACAACAGUCGGAAACGACUGCUAAUACCGCAUAAGCGCACAGAACCGCAUGGUUUGGUGUGAAAAACUCCGGUGGUAUGGGAUGGACCCGCGUCUGAUUAG
Molecule: ribosomal RNA, 248 nt
Filed under: uncultured bacterium
Lineage: Bacteria
Description: partial 16S ribosomal RNA
Rfam family: Bacterial small subunit ribosomal RNA
Source: RNAcentral